AGAGACUUAGGUUAAGAUCAGACCAAGGGCCUUCAAAGCCCUAAGCGAGAGUGAAAAUCUCCCAGUCCCUG
This 71-nucleotide transfer RNA is filed under the name Caranx ignobilis (giant trevally). Its description in RNAcentral is "tRNA-Trp". It matches the Rfam family "tRNA". Rfam says of the family: Transfer RNA (tRNA) molecules are approximately 80 nucleotides in length. The record is from RNAcentral. Lineage: Eukaryota; Metazoa; Chordata; Actinopteri; Carangiformes; Carangidae.